RNAcentral lists this ribosomal RNA (433 nucleotides) under uncultured bacterium. RNAcentral describes it as "partial 16S ribosomal RNA". It matches the Rfam family "Bacterial small subunit ribosomal RNA", at positions 29 to 507 of the family's 1533-position model. The record is from RNAcentral.
AACGAACGCUGGCGGCAUGCCUAACACAUGCAAGUCGAACGAGACCUUCGGGUCUAGUGGCGCACGGGUGCGUAACGCGUGGGAACCUGCCCUUAGGUUCGGAAUAACUCCCCGAAAGGGGUGCUAAUACCGGAUAAUGUCUUCGGACCAAAGAUUUAUCGCCUUUGGAUGGGCCCGCGUUGGAUUAGCUAGUUGGUAGGGUAAAAGCCUACCAAGGCGACGAUCCAUAGCUGGUCGGAGAGGAUGAUCAGCCACACUGGGACUGAGACACGGCCCAGACUCCUACGGGAGGGAGCAGUGGGGAAUAUUGGAGAAUGGGCGAAAGCCUGAUCCAGCAAUGCCGCGUGAGUGAUGAAGGCGUUAGGGUUGUAAAGCUGUUUUACCCGGGAUGAUAAUGACAGUACCGGGAGAAUAAGCACCGGCUAACUCCGUG